GACGAACGCUGGCGGCGUGCCUAAUACAUGCAAGUCGAACGCUGAAGAGAGGAGCUUGCUCUUCUUGGAUGAGUUGCGAACGGGUGAGUAACGCGUAGGUAACCUGCCUUUUAGCGGGGGAUAACUAUUGGAAACGAUAGCUAAUACCGCAUAACAAUGGAUGACACAUGUCAUUUAUUUGAAAGGGGCAAUUGCUCCACUACAAGGUGGACCUGCGUUGUAUUAGCUUGUAGGUGAGGUAAUGGCUCACCUAGGCGACGAAACCGUACCGACCCGAGAGGGGGAUCGGCCACACUGGGACUGGGACACGGCCCAGACCCCUACGGGGGGCAGCAGGAGGGGAACUUCGGCAAAGGGGGGAACGCCGACCGGGCAACGCCGGGGGGGGGAAGAAGGGUUUCGGAUCGUAAAGAUCCGUUGUAAGGGAAGAAAGGGUGUGAGAGUGGAAAGUUCACACUGUGACGGUAGCUAACCAGAAAGGGACGGCUAACUACGUG
Molecule: ribosomal RNA, 497 nt
Filed under: uncultured bacterium
Lineage: Bacteria
Description: partial 16S ribosomal RNA
Rfam family: Bacterial small subunit ribosomal RNA
Source: RNAcentral